This 226-nucleotide long non-coding RNA is filed under the name Setaria italica (foxtail millet). Its description in RNAcentral is "long non-coding RNA (SITA_LNC001064)". Lineage: Eukaryota; Viridiplantae; Streptophyta; Magnoliopsida; Poales; Poaceae. The record is from RNAcentral.
UCUUUUGCCUGCGAGGAUGCAAUCGAGCCGCGCCCGCUGGUUCCUCGCUGCCAUCCAGACCCUGCACCGGAGCAAUCGUCCAUCCCUUUCCCUUGCCUCGUUUGCCGAAGAAGUAGCGCGGGCCGGGCAUUUGGAUUGGAGAACUGAGCCGAAUCGGAUGGGCAUGGCGAGCUCGUGGCGGCGGCAGCAAGUAUGGAAGCCGAAUUGGACGGGCAUGGCGAGGUCC